RNAcentral lists this ribosomal RNA (488 nucleotides) under uncultured bacterium. RNAcentral describes it as "bacterial SSU rRNA". It matches the Rfam family "Bacterial small subunit ribosomal RNA", at positions 17 to 507 of the family's 1533-position model. The record is from RNAcentral.
UCAUGGCUCAGGAUGACGCUAGCGGGAGGCCUAACACAUGCAAGCCGAGCGGUAUUGUUCUUCGGAAAUGAGAGAGCGGCGUACGGGUGCGGAACACGUGUGCAACCUGCCUUUAUCUGGGGGAUAGCCUUUCGAAAGGAAGAUUAAUACUCCAUAAUAUAUUGAACGGCAUCGUUUAAUAUUGAAAGCUCCGGCGGAUAGAGAUGGGCACGCGCAAGAUUAGCUAGUUGGUGAGGUAACGGCUCACCAAGGCAAUGAUCUUUAGGGGCCUGAGAGGGUGAUCCCCCACACUGGUACUGAGACACGGACCAGACUCCUACGGGAGGCAGCAGUGAGGAAUAUUGGUCAAUGGGUGCAAGCCUGAACCAGCCAUCCCCGCGUGAAGGACGACUGCCCUAUGGGUUGUAAACUUCUUUUGUAUAGGGAUAAACCUACUCUCGUGAGGGUAGCUGAAGGUAUUAUACGAAUAAGCACCGGCUAACUCCGUG